Molecule: ribosomal RNA, 392 nt
Filed under: uncultured bacterium
Lineage: Bacteria
Description: partial 16S ribosomal RNA
Rfam family: Bacterial small subunit ribosomal RNA
Source: RNAcentral
AUACGGAGGAUCCGAGCGUUAUCCGGAUUUAUUGGGUUUAAAGGGUGCGCAGGCGGCCAUUUAAGUCAGCGGUUAAAUCUUGGGGCUCAACCCCAUUCUGCCGUUGAUACUGGGUGGCUUGAUUGCGGUCGAGGUUGGCGGAAUUCGUUGUGUAGCGGUGAAAUGCAUAGAUAUGACGAAGAACACCGAUUGCGUAGGCAGCUGACCAGACCGCAAAUGACGCUCAUGCACGAAAGUGCGGGGAUCGAACAGGAUUAGAUACCCUGGUAGUCCGCACAGUAAACGAUGAAUACUUGUUUUCGGCGAUAUAAUGUCGGAGGCAAAGCGAAAGCGAUAAGUAUUCCACCUGGGGAGUACGCCGGCAACGGUGAAACUUAAAGGAAUUGACGGGG